Molecule: ribosomal RNA, 378 nt
Filed under: uncultured bacterium
Lineage: Bacteria
Description: bacterial SSU rRNA
Rfam family: Bacterial small subunit ribosomal RNA
Source: RNAcentral
CACGUAGGACGCAAGCGUUAUCCGGAAUUACUGGGCGUAAAGAGCGUGUAGGCGGUUCUGUAAGUCAACCGUGAAAGCUCCCGGCUAAACUGGGAGAGGUCGGAUGAGACUGCAGGGCUAGAGGGUCGUAGAGGAAUGUGGAAUUCCGGGUGUAGUGGUGAAAUGCGUAGAGAUCCGGAGGAACACCAGAGGCGAAGGCGGCAUUCUGGACGACAACUGACGCUGAGACGCGACAGCACGGGGAGCGAACGGGAUUAGAAACCCCGGUAGUCCGUGCCGUAAACGAUGUGUACUAGAUGUUCGGUUGACUACGGUUGAUUGAGCGUCGAAGCAAACGCGAUAAGUACACCGCCUGGGGAGUACGGUCGCAAGGCUAAA